UGGUGGAGUGAUUUGUCUGGUUAAUUCCGUUAACGAACGAGACCCCCGCCUGCUAAAUAGCUUUGUUAAUGCGCUUGCAUUGGCAAAACUUCUUAGAGGGACUUUUGGUGACUAACCAAAGGAAGCUGGGGGCAAUAACA
This 140-nucleotide ribosomal RNA is filed under the name uncultured eukaryote. RNAcentral describes it as "partial 18S ribosomal RNA". It matches the Rfam family "Eukaryotic small subunit ribosomal RNA", at positions 1299 to 1458 of the family's 1831-position model. The record is from RNAcentral.